CGUUGCUCGGAAUUAUUGGGCGUAAAGCGCACGUAGGCGGCUUAGCAAGUCGGAAGUGAAAUCCCUCGGCUCAACCAAGGAAGUGCUUUCGAAACUGCUGAGCUUGAGUACUUAAGAGGAUCGCGGAAUUCCCGGUGUAGAGGUGAAAUUCGUAGAUAUCGGGAGGAACACCAGUGGCGAAGGCGGCGAUCUGGGAAGAUACUGACGCUGAGGUGCGAAAGCGUGGGGAGCAAACAGG
RNAcentral lists this ribosomal RNA (238 nucleotides) under uncultured bacterium. RNAcentral describes it as "partial 16S ribosomal RNA". It matches the Rfam family "Bacterial small subunit ribosomal RNA", at positions 539 to 776 of the family's 1533-position model. The record is from RNAcentral.